CACGUACGCACACACACACACAUCCACACACACCGGAUGGUACCAGUUAAAGAGUUUAUGUUUCUCAAGGUCAAUUCUUUCUUCAAGGUGCCGGUAGUGAACUCCACUUAAUUGAACAGACUAUAAUUGUGCAGGCACUGGACUGUUAAUCCCAACCCACUUAU
Long non-coding RNA from Haliotis rubra (blacklip abalone), 164 nucleotides. RefSeq lists it as uncharacterized. The transcript is spliced from 3 exons. The record is from RefSeq and is a predicted model, not a curated record. Lineage: Eukaryota; Metazoa; Mollusca; Gastropoda; Lepetellida; Haliotidae.